Molecule: long non-coding RNA, 123 nt
Organism: Etheostoma cragini (Arkansas darter)
Lineage: Eukaryota; Metazoa; Chordata; Actinopteri; Perciformes; Percidae
Exons: 3
Source: RefSeq, a predicted model, not a curated record
UUCAAAAGUUGUUAAAAAAUGGUCUGAUAAUAAAGGAUUCUGUGGAAAUACCAUUAAAUCUUCAAUUUUGAUGCCAUAUGUCAGCACAAGGUCGAGGGUGUGGUUAAAACAGUAAGUAGCUUU